This 484-nucleotide ribosomal RNA is filed under the name uncultured bacterium. RNAcentral's name for it is "partial 16S ribosomal RNA". It matches the Rfam family "Bacterial small subunit ribosomal RNA", at positions 30 to 507 of the family's 1533-position model. The record is from RNAcentral.
AGUGAACGCUGGCGGCAGGCCUAACACAUGCAAGUCGAGCGGCAGCGGGUCCUUCGGGAUGCCGGCGAGCGGCGGACGGGUGAGGAAUGCAUCGGAAUCUGCCCUGUCGUGGGGGAUAACCUAGGGAAACUUAGGCUAAUACCGCAUACGACCCACGGGUGAAAGCGGGGGAUCGCAAGACCUCGCGCGAUAGGAUGAGCCGAUGUCCGAUUAGCUAGUUGGCGGGGUAAAGGCCCACCAAGGCGACGAUCGGUAGCUGGUCUGAGAGGAUGAUCAGCCACACUGGGACUGAGACACGGCCCAGACUCCUACGGGAGGCAGCAGUGGGGAAUAUUGGACAAUGGGCGCAAGCCUGAUCCAGCCAUGCCGCGUGGGUGAAGAAGGCCUUCGGGUUGUAAAGCCCUUUUGUCCGGGAAGAAAACGUCUGGGCUAAUACCCCGGGCGGAUGACGGUACCGGAAGAAUAAGCACCGGCUAACUUCGUG